Molecule: ribosomal RNA, 311 nt
Filed under: Heterotermes tenuis
Lineage: Eukaryota; Metazoa; Arthropoda; Insecta; Blattodea; Rhinotermitidae
Description: partial 16S ribosomal RNA
Source: RNAcentral
UGAAGGGCCGCGGUAUUUUGACCGUGCAAAGGUAGCAUAAUCAUUAGUUCUUUAAUUGUGAUCUGGAAUGAAUGGCUUGACGAGAUGCGAGCUGUCUUAAAUUUGAAUGUUUUAUUGAAUUUGGUUUUUGAGUUAAAAUUCUUAGAUGUUUUUAUGGGACGAGAAGACCCUAUAGAGUUUGACAUGUUGAUUUGCUUGUUUGUUUGUAGUUUGUUUUAUUUUUAAUAAGUGAGUCUUGUGUUUUGUUGGGGUGAUGAGAGGAAUAUAAUUUAACUCCUCUUGGUUUAGUGGUUAUAUUGAUUUAUAUUUAU